RNAcentral lists this ribosomal RNA (229 nucleotides) under uncultured bacterium. RNAcentral describes it as "partial 16S ribosomal RNA". It matches the Rfam family "Bacterial small subunit ribosomal RNA", at positions 118 to 347 of the family's 1533-position model. The record is from RNAcentral.
UGAGCAAUCUGCCCUUCACAUCGGAAUAACCAUUGGAAACGAUGGCUAAUACCGAAUAUGACUUCGGAUCGCAUGAUCGGAGGUGGAAAGCUCCGGCGGAGAAGGAUGAGCUCGCGGCCUAUCAGCUAGUUGGUGUGGGUAAUGGCCCACAAGGCGACGACGGGUAGCCGGCCUGAGGAGGGUGACCGGCCACACUGGGACUGAGACACGGCCCAGACCUCUACGGGAG